RNAcentral lists this long non-coding RNA (1709 nucleotides) under Homo sapiens (human). Its description in RNAcentral is "HSALNT0041815". The record is from RNAcentral. Lineage: Eukaryota; Metazoa; Chordata; Mammalia; Primates; Hominidae.
UGCAGUUUGAUCUCUGACUGCUGUGCUAGCAAUCAGUGAGACUCCCUGGGCAUAGGACCCUCCGAGCCAGGUGGGGGUUAUAAUCUCGUGGUGCGCCGUUUUUUAAGCCCGUCGGAAAAGCGCAGUAUUCCGGUUGGAGUGACCCGAUUUCCAGUGAGAUGAACCCGGUACCUCAGAUGGAAAUGCAGAAAUCACCCGUCUUCUGCGUCGCUCAAGCUGGGAGCUGUAGACCGGAGCUGUUCCUACUCGGCCAUCUUGGCUCCUCCCCGCCAAGCCUGUCAGUCAGAAUUCCAUUGCAUGCCUGUUCUUGAACAACCAUGGUCAAGGAGACAAGAUUCCUGAUGACUGACUCACACUAAUCAAAACUCAGCCACUGGUCCUAGCAAACUUCAUGAGAUGAGAGUGGAGAGUGUCCCAUCUCAUCUUAAGCAUAUGACUGUCCCAUACCCAUACAAAAUCAGGUUCUUUGCACAAAGAACAAUAGAGGUGAAUGACCAAUGAGUAAUCAAAGAGAGAGUUUUUCAGAAUAUGACUGCAUUUGGAAAUAGGGACUUUAAAGAGGUGAUUAAGUUACAAUGAGGCCACUAGAGAAGACAAUUAUCCAUUUGGACUGAUGUGCUUAGAAGAAGAGCAUAUUGGUAAAAAGAGACACCAGAGGUACAACAGCACAGAGAAAGACCAUGUGAGGACAUAGUGAGAAGAUGGCCAUCCCAUCUGCAAGCCAAGGACAGAGGCCUCAGGAGAAACCAACCCUGAUGACACCUUGAUCUUGGACUUCACAGCCUCCAGAACUAACAUACUCAAGUGUCUCAGCUCAACAUUUGGAGAUGAGCCAUCCUCCUCUUAUUGUAAGAAAAGCUUGAAGGAGUAUUUUCACAGCGAUGGAACUGGAAGUUAAGGCAACUUCUAUCAGCAUCAAGAAAAGAAAAGAAGUAUUCACCACUUACGAAACAACAUCUCUCUUCUCAUCAAUAGUUUGAUUUACAGCAUCUACUGCAGAAGACCUCAAUAAUGCAUAAGAACAUCUGGAAGUACGGUAAUUUCAGCUAUCAGAGAUAAGAAUUGACACAGAACAGCAUCUGGAAAUCUGCAGAUUUGGAUGCACAAACAAUUAGACAUAAGACACAGCAUAAUGAAGUAUUUGUUUUCAUAGAGGAUCAUAGAAAUUCAUAAACAGAGGAUGAAGAAACACAGAAGACAGAGGAAGGAUUUAGUUUUGGGAACAUGUGCUAAUGGCCAUCAAACAAUUCUGAAAUAACUGAAAGAGAACCUUUGAAACACCCUUUAGAUUAAGAGCCUGGCUUGUAAUCUGUAACAACAAACGGUAUUACAAUGAGGUAAGAACUCUACUACAUCUGUUUCUAUUAUUAGGAUUGCUACUGAUACUAAUAAUUAUCAUUAUUAUUGCUAACACUUAUUGAGUGCUCGGAAUAUACCAGAAACUAUUCCAAGUGGUUCAUGUAAUGACUCAAUAUAUGUGUAAAGAUUUAGAACUGUGAUUGAUGCAUAUUAAAUGCUCACAAAGGUUAACUACUAUUAUUAUGUACAAUAAGAUAAAAACUAUUACUAUUGUGCAUAGGCAAAAACUAAGAAUGUUUAAGUAACUUUCCCAGGGUUGUGCUUCAUGCUGCUAACAAAUGACAUUAUUAAGAUUUGAACCAAGUUCGUAUGACUCCUGUCCAUAUUCUUAACAUUAAUUCCACACUUAU